This 377-nucleotide unclassified non-coding RNA is filed under the name Basidiomycota sp. RNAcentral's name for it is "partial contains small subunit ribosomal RNA, internal transcribed spacer 1, and 5.8S ribosomal RNA". The stretch from base 1 to 47 matches the Rfam family "Eukaryotic small subunit ribosomal RNA", at positions 1785 to 1831 of the family's 1831-position model. Lineage: Eukaryota; Fungi; Basidiomycota. The record is from RNAcentral.
AAAGUCGUAACAAGGUCUCCGUAGGUGAACCUGCGGAGGGAUCAUCAUAGGAAAAAACACAUUUUAUGUGUGUGUGUGGAGGGGAGGUUUGCUUGGUUUGGUUAGGAGUUGUGUUUGGUGUGUGUGUAUUCGCCAUCUCCAUACUCUGCACCUUUUCUUGCAUUCUCCUCCCUUUACAUGUGCACAUAUCAAACAAACGAUCGCAACUAUGUGAUAUCUUAGCGCAAACAUGAGGAAAAAGAUUGACUUGCUUCUUUUUCUCUCGCGCUCUAUCUGAAAAGUGCUUGCCUGAUACUGAAUAAUGUCAAUGCCAUUCAUGGUGUUGAUAUGAAUUGGAACAAGAAAUACAACUUUCAACAACGGAUCUCUUGGCUCUC